GAUGAACGCUGGCGGCGUGCCUAAUACAUGCAAGUCGAGCGAACAGACGAGGAGCUUGCUCCUCUGACGUUAGCGGCGGACGGGUGAGUAACACGUGGAUAACCUACCUAUAAGACUGGGAUAACUUCGGGAAACCGGAGCUAAUACCGGAUAAUAUAUUGAACCGCAUGGUUCAAUAGUGAAAGACGGUUUUGCUGUCACUUAUAGAUGGAUCCGCGCCGCAUUAGCUAGUUGGUAAGGUAACGGCUUACCAAGGCAACGAUGCGUAGCCGACCUGAGAGGGGGAGCGGCCGCAAGGGAGGUGGGACGGGGACCAGGGGACUGAGGGAGGGAGCAGAAGGGAAUGUUCGGCAGUGGGGGGGAGCCUGAAGGGAGGAGGGGGCGAGAGAGGUAGAGAUGUACGGAGCGUGAAACUCGGUUAUGAGGGGAAAACAAAUGUGUAAGUAACUGUGCAGGGAGUGACGGUAACUAGUCAGGAAGCCACGGCUAACUACGUG
This 497-nucleotide ribosomal RNA is filed under the name uncultured bacterium. RNAcentral's name for it is "partial 16S ribosomal RNA". It matches the Rfam family "Bacterial small subunit ribosomal RNA", at positions 28 to 507 of the family's 1533-position model. The record is from RNAcentral.